Colossoma macropomum (tambaqui) is the source of this 452-nucleotide long non-coding RNA. RefSeq lists it as uncharacterized. The record is from RefSeq and is a predicted model, not a curated record. Lineage: Eukaryota; Metazoa; Chordata; Actinopteri; Characiformes; Serrasalmidae. The transcript is spliced from 2 exons.
CACUAGAGCACUAAACUUGGACAGUCAGGGAACAAUACCAUUUCAAGAGUCCAAAUAAAUACAUAUACAAAUAUUAUGGCUCCUGUGAGUUUUACAACAAAUGCUUUGAUGAAAAUAUUCUCUGGAGCUUAUUGAAGCUUGUAUAUAGAAAGCAGUUUUCACAUUGACUGACAUGACGUUAGUAUAGCUGAGGUCAGUAUGGUGACUGGGCCACUACAAUGAAGUUGUGACCCUGUGAAGCUGUUCAAGAUUUUCUUCCCACCUACAUUAACUUGGAGCUGUCAGACCACAAUGGCCUCAUUACGUCUACGAUCAAUAUGCUUCAGCAUACAUUGGCAAUUGCUUUUUGAGUCUGAAUGGCACUUCACUGUUGAUGAUAAUUACAGAUGUCAGUAAAAAGACCCCAGUAAUUUUAAGCCUGUGUGAAUAAAGCUUAAGUUAAUUGUUAUUUA